This 1151-nucleotide long non-coding RNA is filed under the name Ananas comosus (pineapple). RNAcentral's name for it is "long non-coding RNA (ACOM_LNC014220)". The record is from RNAcentral. Lineage: Eukaryota; Viridiplantae; Streptophyta; Magnoliopsida; Poales; Bromeliaceae.
AAAAAUUUUAAAAUGUAGCAGUCAUACCGGAGGAAUUCUACACUGUCGCACUUGCACCACGUCAUCAAUAACAAGCCAAUCACAUUCUUUCUUUUCAAACAAAAGUACAAUAAAAAUAUUUUUUUACAAUCAUGAGGGGACAUAUAUUCUUAAAAGGAUUAAUUUGAUUGGUUUGUUACGCCACGUCACUAAUAUACCCGUUGCAUUCUAAAAUUUUUCGUCAUACGGACUGUUUAUUAUUAUUAUUAUUAUUAUUAUUAUUAUUAUUUUUGAGAGAUAGGUACCACGCUAUUUAUUUCGUUUAUUUUAUUUAGAAAUAAAUUUAGUUCGAAAUAUGAAUCAACUAGGAUUCGAACUUGACUAUGAACGGAGGAUUUAUUAUUUUUUGAGAGAAAGAUACUAUGCUAUCCGCUUCGUUUAUUUCACAUAGAAAUAAAUUUAGCUGGAAAUGCGAAUCAACUAGAAUUCAAACUUGGGUCUCAGAUACCAACCACCAAAUUAUUUUGUCACUUGCGUUAGGGACGGAUGGUUUAUUAUUGCUCAUGAAUUGAAGUACAUUCUCAUAACUCAUUCAUUCAUUUUUAAGAUAUAUUUUUCAAAAUAAAUAUGAUUGACUAAAGAUGUAAUAUAGCUGCUUCAUAGUAGACUUUCAUGCGGAGAGGUGGACACGUGGUGGAAAUGGAUCCACAAUUGUGCAAUGAGGACAAAGAGCGAUCACGGCAGCUAAUACUUGCUGUUGAACCGUGCUCGACUUUUUGUGAGCUCAGUUUGGAAUUGUAUGCAGAUGAAGGAAAAAAACAAAAAGAUAUUUUGUAUAUUUUCGUGUGUAAUAUUACAUUGCAUGUAUAAUAAUAAAUUGAUUAAGAUAUAUUUCUCAUAAUCUUAAUAAAAUAUAAACAAAUAGGAGUUGAGCUAGAAUACUCUCAAAAGCACCAAAGGGGUGGUGCUUUUGAGUUUUUAACCAUUGGAUUGAGAGAUAUAGGAUUGAGAUUAUGAUGGUAGAUGGUGGUAGGUGGUGAUAGGUGAAAUAGUAUUUGAUUCAAGGGGUAUUAGUAAUUAAGAAGUAAAUCUAAGGACUAGAAACUUAAAAAUACCAAGGUAUUGGUACUUCUAAAAGUAUUCUAGCUCAAUUCAACAAAUAGUAUCUUUAU